CUAGUAGUGGUCGUGAGAGGAUGGUCCCAAAACGACGUCGUGCAAGUAAAGAGAUUGUUAGAAGGGCAUUGACUCCUCCACCUAGUCUUUUGCUACAAAAUGAAAUCUGAUAUCGAAUCAUAGCUUUGGAGAAUGGAGAGUGGAGACUUGGAGUUAUUAAUUUUGGGCCAAGACUUUUUUUUAUCGUAAUGUUGUAGAGUGUGGGCCUCUAGUGAAAAUAUCUGGGCUUAUUUUGAGUAUGCAAUUUCGCAGAAGCCCCGAGCAUAAUAUUUCCACAUCCGAUUUGCGAUUUAAUUAAAAACGUUCUCGUCCUCAUUUUGGGUUCAUCAAAAUCUGUAUAGUUUCAGGCUUUCAGCUUUAAAUGGAAAUCAGUUGGUUUUCAGAGUUGUCUUUCCGGCAUAGAGAAUAUCACACCGUGUGUGUGGCUUGUAAUCAUCGAUCUAUCACUGUAACAAAAUCUUAAACGUGUUCACUCAACACAAAAGAAGGAAACGAAAUCUUUUCUGUUGAUACUAUUUGAAUUUCUUUUUAUGAUUGUGGGUACCUGUGCAAUAUAAAAGUAGUAUAGGUACUUGAUGUAAAACGAUAAUGUAUGGAUUAUAGGAGAUAAGAGGUAUAAAAUGUAAAUAUGUAAGGCUAUUUCCAAUGGGGUGUCUUUGAGUGCACUUGAAUAUCCUUUGCCGUAGAAGCUUGUCCGAAACUAACUAUUUUUUGAGGAUGUCUUUACCUAAGUGCAAGCUCUUACUUGUCCUUGUUGAAUAAUAAUAGCAAAAUCAAAGUUAUAUAUUA
This is a long non-coding RNA of Erigeron canadensis, 789 nucleotides long. RefSeq lists it as uncharacterized. The transcript is spliced from 2 exons. The record is from RefSeq and is a predicted model, not a curated record. Lineage: Eukaryota; Viridiplantae; Streptophyta; Magnoliopsida; Asterales; Asteraceae.